AAACUAGGAUUAGAUACCCUAUUGGAUUUUCCUUAAUUUGUAAGUUAAAUAAAAGAUUAUGAAAGCAAAAAAUUAUGGCGGUAUUUUAAGCUUUUCAGAGGAAUUUGCUCUUUAAUGGAUAAAACACCUAAAUCUUACUUAAAUUUGUUAAUUCAAUUUGUAUACCACUAUAAAAACAAUUUAUAACUUUAAUUGUUGAUAUUUAUUAAAUUAAAAUAUAUUAAGUCAAGGUGCAGUAAAAAUUUAAGGAUGAAGUGAAUUACAUUACUUUUUAGAGAAAUAAAUUUAAAAUAAUAUUUAGGAUUUGAAAGUAAAAUUAAAAUAUAAUGUUAAUUUGAAUUAAGCUCUAAAAUAUGUACACAUCGCCCGUCGCUCUCAUU
RNAcentral lists this ribosomal RNA (380 nucleotides) under Rhipicephalus turanicus. RNAcentral's name for it is "partial 12S ribosomal RNA". Lineage: Eukaryota; Metazoa; Arthropoda; Arachnida; Ixodida; Ixodidae. The record is from RNAcentral.